GCAGCAGCCACGGGAAUACGAAGGGUGCAAGCGUUACUCGGAAUUACUGGGCGUAAAGCGUGCGUAGGUGGUUGUUUAAGUCUGCUGUGAAAGCCCUGGGCUCAACCUGGGAAUUGCAGUGGAUACUGGGCAACUAGAGUAAGGUAGAGGAUAGUGGAAUUUCCGGUGUAGCAGUGAAAUGCGUAGAGAUCGGAAGGAACAUCUGUGGCGAAGGCGACUAUCUGGGCCAUUACUGACACUGAGGCACGAAAGCGUGGGGAGCAAACAGGAUUAGAUACCCCAGUAGUCCAUGUCUCUUAUAC
RNAcentral lists this ribosomal RNA (302 nucleotides) under uncultured bacterium. RNAcentral's name for it is "partial 16S ribosomal RNA". It matches the Rfam family "Bacterial small subunit ribosomal RNA", at positions 508 to 807 of the family's 1533-position model. The record is from RNAcentral.